Molecule: ribosomal RNA, 1232 nt
Filed under: Flavobacterium sp. AX-7
Lineage: Bacteria; Pseudomonadati; Bacteroidota; Flavobacteriia; Flavobacteriales; Flavobacteriaceae
Description: bacterial SSU rRNA
Rfam family: Bacterial small subunit ribosomal RNA
Source: RNAcentral
GCGUGAGCAACCUGCCCAUAUCAGGGGGAUAGCCCGGAGAAAUCCGGAUUAACACCGCAUGACACUGCUUUCCGGCAUCGGGAGGUAGUCAAAUAUUCAUAGGAUAUGGAUGGGCUCGCGUGACAUUAGCUAGUUGGUGGGGUAACGGCCCACCAAGGCGACGAUGUCUAGGGGCUCUGAGAGGAGAAUCCCCCACACUGGUACUGAGACACGGACCAGACUCCUACGGGAGGCAGCAGUAAGGAAUAUUGGUCAAUGGGGGCAACCCUGAACCAGCCAUGCCGCGUGCAGGACGACUGCCCUAUGGGUUGUAAACUGCUUUUGUUAGGGAAUAAACCCCGCUACGUGUAGCGGGCUGAAUGUACCUAAAGAAUAAGGAUCGGCUAACUCCGUGCCAGCAGCCGCGGUAAUACGGAGGAUCCGAGCGUUAUCCGGAUUUAUUGGGUUUAAAGGGUGCGUAGGCGGCACUUUAAGUCAGGGGUGAAAGACGGCAGCUCAACUGUCGCAGUGCCCUUGAUACUGAAGUGCUUGAAUGCGGUUGAAGACGGCGGAAUGAGACAAGUAGCGGUGAAAUGCAUAGAUAUGUCUCAGAACACCGAUUGCGAAGGCAGCUGUCUAAGCCGUUAUUGACGCUGAUGCACGAAAGCGUGGGGAUCGAACAGGAUUAGAUACCCUGGUAGUCCACGCCCUAAACGAUGAUGACUCGAUGUUUGCGAUAUACCGUAAGCGUCCAAGCGAAAGCGUUAAGUCAUCCACCUGGGGAGUACGCCCGCAAGGGUGAAACUCAAAGGAAUUGACGGGGGCCCGCACAAGCGGAGGAGCAUGUGGUUUAAUUCGAUGAUACGCGAGGAACCUUACCCGGGCUUGAAAGUUACUGAAGGGCGCAGAGACGCGCCCGUCCUUCGGGACAGGAAACUAGGUGCUGCAUGGCUGUCGUCAGCUCGUGCCGUGAGGUGUUGGGUUAAGUCCCGCAACGAGCGCAACCCCUAUGUUUAGUUGCCAGCACGUCAAGGUGGGGACUCUAAACAGACUGCCUGCGCAAGCAGAGAGGAAGGCGGGGACGACGUCAAGUCAUCAUGGCCCUUACGUCCGGGGCUACACACGUGCUACAAUGGAUGGUACAGCGGGCAGCUACACAGCAAUGUGGUGCCAAUCUCGAAAAGCCAUUCACAGUUCGGAUCGGGGUCUGCAACUCGACCCCGUGAAGUUGGAUUCGCUAGUAAUCGCGUAUC